CUAAAACAUUUUUAAGUGGUAAGCUCUUGAUGAUUCAGAAAUACAUGCCUUCGCUCGCAAAACUCCAAACUGCAUUAUCUCUAAAACGACAAUAGAUAUCUCAAAUCUGUUAAAUGAUAAAUGAUCUACAGUUGAAGGACAACAUUAUAGAAAAAGAAUUGGGACAAUUUCAAAGUUCACCAAGGUCACAAUUAAUCAUCAAAUAUAUGAUGCAAUACCAAACUUGAGAACCGGAAGUCGUAGAGACAUGGGACUACCACCAUUCAACUCAGGACCACUUGACCUUUCAAAUAUCACAAGGUCAAGGUCAUAGUAUAAUGUGAAGGUCAAGGUGAAAUUUCAUCAUGACCUGACAUUGACCUCAAAUUGAAGGUCUUGAACUACUGAUCAUCUUUGCAGUUUAUAGUAGGUUGAUAUCUGUUACCUUUAAAAAGAUAUACACACAAUACUAUACUUUUAAGAAUCAUCCCGUCGUAACUUUUGAACAGACAGUCGGACUCUUUUGAGCUCAGUGUAUAAAAUGUAGAGCUCGUCGAGAGGAACAUUUUAUACGCUGUAAGUAUGCAGCAAACUCUUAU
This 578-nucleotide long non-coding RNA is filed under the name Mytilus galloprovincialis (Mediterranean mussel). Lineage: Eukaryota; Metazoa; Mollusca; Bivalvia; Mytilida; Mytilidae. The record is from RNAcentral.